RNAcentral lists this ribosomal RNA (497 nucleotides) under uncultured bacterium. RNAcentral's name for it is "partial 16S ribosomal RNA". It matches the Rfam family "Bacterial small subunit ribosomal RNA", at positions 28 to 507 of the family's 1533-position model. The record is from RNAcentral.
GAUGAACGCUGGCGGCGUGCCUAAUACAUGCAAGUCGAGCGAACAGACGAGGAGCUUGCUCCUCUGACGUUAGCGGCGGACGGGUGAGUAACACGUGGAUAACCUACCUAUAAGACUGGGAUAACUUCGGGAAACCGGAGCUAAUACCGGAUAAUAUAUUGAACCGCAUGGUUCAAUAGUGAAAGACGGUUUUGCUGUCACUUAUAGAUGGAUCCGCGCCGCAUUAGCUAGUUGGUAAGGUAACGGCUUACCAAGGCAACGAUGCGUAGCCGACCUGAGAGGGUGAUCGGCCACACGGGAACUGGGACACGGUCCAGACUCCUACGGGAGGCAGCAGUAGGGAAUCGUCCGCAAUGGGCGAAAGCCUGACGGAGCAACGCCGCGUGAGUGAUGAAGGUCUUCGGAUCGUAAAACUCUGUUAUUAGGGAAGAACAAAUGUGUAAGUAACUAUGCACGUCUUGACGGUACCUAAUCAGAAAGCCACGGCUAACUACGUG